AAUGAACGCUGGCGGCAUGCCUAACACAUGCAAGUCGAACGAGACCUUCGGGUCUAGUGGCGCACGGGUGCGUAACGCGUGGGAACCUGCCCUUAGGUUCGGAAUAACUCCCCGAAAGGGGUGCUAAUACCGGAUAAUGUCUUCGGACCAAAGAUUUAUCGCCUUUGGAUGGGCCCGCGUUGGAUUAGCUAGUUGGUAGGGUAAAAGCCUACCAAGGCGACGAUCCAUAGCUGGUCUGAGAGGAUGAUCAGCCACACUGGGACUGAGACACGGCCCAGACUCCUACGGGAGGCAGCAGUGGGGAAUAUUGGACGAUGGGCGAAAGCCUGAUCCAGCAAUGCCGCGUGAGUGAUGAAGGCCUUAGGGUUGUAAAGCUCUUUUACCCGGGAUGAUAAUGACAGUACCGGGAGAAUAAGCUCCGGCUAACUCCGUG
Molecule: ribosomal RNA, 433 nt
Filed under: uncultured bacterium
Lineage: Bacteria
Description: partial 16S ribosomal RNA
Rfam family: Bacterial small subunit ribosomal RNA
Source: RNAcentral